GCCUUCGUGGUGUAAUGGUCAGCACACUGAGCCGGUAAUUCAGAAGUCCGUGCUUCGAUCCCCGGCGAAGGCA
RNAcentral lists this transfer RNA (73 nucleotides) under Stegodyphus mimosarum. It matches the Rfam family "tRNA". Rfam says of the family: Transfer RNA (tRNA) molecules are approximately 80 nucleotides in length. The record is from Rfam by way of RNAcentral. Lineage: Eukaryota; Metazoa; Arthropoda; Arachnida; Araneae; Eresidae.